RNAcentral lists this ribosomal RNA (300 nucleotides) under uncultured bacterium. RNAcentral describes it as "bacterial SSU rRNA". It matches the Rfam family "Bacterial small subunit ribosomal RNA", at positions 399 to 691 of the family's 1533-position model. The record is from RNAcentral.
GCGUGCAGGACGAAGGCCUUCGGGUUGUAAACUGCUUUUGUACGGAACGAAAAGGUCUGCUUUAAUACAGUGGGCUCAUGACGGUACCGUAAGAAUAAGCACCGGCUAACUACGUGCCAGCAGCCGCGGUAAUACGUAGGGUGCGAGCGUUAAUCGGAAUUACUGGGCGUAAAGCGUGCGCAGGCGGUUAUAUAAGUCAGAUGUGAAAUCCCCGGGCUCAACCUGGGACCUGCAUUUGAGACUGUAUAGCUAGAGUACGGUAGAGGGGGAUGGAAUUCCGCGUGUAGCAGUGAAAUGCGU